This 737-nucleotide ribosomal RNA is filed under the name uncultured bacterium. RNAcentral describes it as "bacterial SSU rRNA". It matches the Rfam family "Bacterial small subunit ribosomal RNA", at positions 50 to 796 of the family's 1533-position model. The record is from RNAcentral.
CAGUCGAGCGAAGCAGUUAAGUUGAUUUCUUCGGAUUGAUUCUUAAUUGACUGAGCGGCGGACGGGUGAGUAACGCGUGGGUGACCUGCCCCAUACCGGGGGAUAACAGCUGGAAACGGCUGCUAAUACCGCAUAAGCGCACAGAGCUGCAUGGCUCGGUGUGAAAAACUCCGGUGGUAUGGGAUGGGCCCGCGUCUGAUUAGGCAGUUGGCGGGGUAACGGCCCACCAAACCGACGAUCGGUAGCCGGCCUGAGAGGGCGACCGGCCACAUUGGGACUGAGACACGGCCCAAACUCCUACGGGAGGCAGCAGUGGGGAAUAUUGCACAAUGGGGGAAACCCUGAUGCAGCGACGCCGCGUGAGCGAAGAAGUAUUUCGGUAUGUAAAGCUCUAUCAGCAGGGAAGAUAAUGACGGUACCUGACUAAGAAGCCCCGGCUAACUACGUGCCAGCAGCCGCGGUAAUACGUAGGGGGCAAGCGUUAUCCGGAUUUACUGGGUGUAAAGGGAGCGUAGACGGCAAGGCAAGUCUGAUGUGAAAACCCAGGGCUUAACCCUGGGACUGCAUUGGAAACUGUCUGGCUCGAGUGCCGGAGAGGUAAGCGGAAUUCCUAGUGUAGCGGUGAAAUGCGUAGAUAUUAGGAAGAACACCAGUGGCGAAGGCGGCUUACUGGACGGUAACUGACGUUGAGGCUCGAAAGCGUGGGGAGCAAACAGGAUUAGAUACCCUGGUAGUCC